RNAcentral lists this ribosomal RNA (464 nucleotides) under uncultured bacterium. RNAcentral's name for it is "bacterial SSU rRNA". It matches the Rfam family "Bacterial small subunit ribosomal RNA", at positions 331 to 792 of the family's 1533-position model. The record is from RNAcentral.
CCAGACUCCUACGGGAGGCAGCAGUGAGGAAUAUUGGUCAAUGGGCGCUAGCCUGAACCAGCCAAGUAGCGUGAAGGAUGACUGCCCUAUGGGUUGUAAACUUCUUUUAUAUGGGAAUAAAGUGCAGUAUGUAUACUGCUUUGCAUGUACCUUAUGAAUAAGGAUCGGCUAACUCCGUGCCAGCAGCCGCGGUAAUACGGAGGAUCCGAGCGUUAUCCGGAUUUAUUGGGUUUAAAGGGAGCGUAGGCGGGUUGUUAAGUCAGUUGUGAAAGUUUGCGGCUCAACCGUAAAAUUGCAGUUGAUACUGGCAUCCUUGAGUACAGUAGAGGUAGGCGGAAUUCGUGGUGUAGCGGUGAAAUGCUUAGAUAUCACGAAGAACUCCGAUUGCGAAGGCAGCCUGCUGGACUGUAACUGACGCUGAUGCUCGAAAGUGUGGGUAUCAAACAGGAUUAGAUACCCCUGUA